UAGCCUUGCGGCCGUACUCCCCAGGCGGAGAACUUAACGCGUUACUACGGCACAGCAGAGGUCAAUAUCCGCUGCACCUAGUUCUCAUCGUUUACGGCGUGGACUACCAGGGUAUCUAAUCCUGUUUGCUCCCCACGCUUUCGCGUCUCAGCGUCAGUAAAUGUCCAGGUGGCCGCCUUCGCCACUGAUGUUCCUCCCGAUAUCUACGAAUUUCACCUCUACACCGGGAAUUCCGCCACCCUCUCCAUUACUCAAGACAAGCAGUUUCGGAUGCAGUUCCUAGGUUAAGCCCAGGGAUUUCACAACCGACUUGCGAGUCCGCCUACACGCGCUUUACGCCCAGUAAAUCCGAGCAACGUUUGCACCCUCUGUAUUACCGCGGCUGCUGGCACAAAGUUAGCCGGUGCUUGCUAAGGAGGUACCGUCAGUACGCAGGCAUUUCCUCCUGCCCAUGUUCGUCUCUCCCCACAGUGCUUUACGACCCGAAGCCUUCAUCACACACGCGGCGUGGCUGGGUCAGGCUUUCGCCCAUUGCCCAAUAUUCCUCA
RNAcentral lists this ribosomal RNA (548 nucleotides) under uncultured delta proteobacterium. RNAcentral's name for it is "partial 16S ribosomal RNA". The record is from RNAcentral. Lineage: Bacteria; Deltaproteobacteria.